This 252-nucleotide ribosomal RNA is filed under the name uncultured bacterium. Its description in RNAcentral is "partial 16S ribosomal RNA". It matches the Rfam family "Bacterial small subunit ribosomal RNA", at positions 524 to 776 of the family's 1533-position model. The record is from RNAcentral.
UACGUAGGGAGCAAGCGUUGUCCGGAAUCAUUGGGCGUAAAGCGCGCGUAGGUGGUCCCGUAAGUCCGCUGUGAAAGUCAAAGGCUCAACCUUUGAAAGCCGGUGGAUACUGUGGGACUAGAGUACGGAAGAGGCGAGUGGAAUUCCUGGUGUAGCGGUGGAAUGCGCAGAUAUCAGGAGGAACACCAAUAGCGAAGGCAGCUCGCUGGGACGUUACUGACGCUGAGGCGCGAAAGCGUGGGAGCGAACAGG